Long non-coding RNA from Hordeum vulgare subsp. vulgare (domesticated barley), 411 nucleotides. RefSeq lists it as uncharacterized. Lineage: Eukaryota; Viridiplantae; Streptophyta; Magnoliopsida; Poales; Poaceae. The transcript has 2 exons. The record is from RefSeq and is a predicted model, not a curated record.
GGCAGGCAGGGAGCUGCGUGGAGGCGCGCGGCGACGCGGCAACCACCUCCUGCUCCUACUGGCGAGGAGGAAGACAGCAGCGCUACUGGGCCGGCCUGAGGUGAGCGACAGGAGAUAUUAUCAUGACGCGAAGCACUGUUGGUUCGAUGGGAAUUUUCAAGAUGUGGCAGAAGUACUGGUUGUAAUUGCACCAAUCGAAUAAAUUAUGCGGAGUGGACAACUAUGAGGCAGAUGAAGCUAAUAUCCCUUAAAAAUGUGGAAACUAUUGACGCAUACAAAGUAUAUUUGAUAUGCACGAUGAUGUAUCUGUUGUACUUUGUUUGAUACGAUUACUAAGAUUGAAAACUUGUCUAUGUAAAUCCGUGUUCGAAUCUGAUUAUAUCGUCAAUAAUACACUUAAGUUUUUUUUAA